GACGAACGCUGGCGGCGUGCUUAACACAUGCAAGUCGAACGGUGAAGCGCCUUCCUUUUUGGUGGGUGUGGAUGAGUGGCGAACGGGUGAGUAACACGUGAGUAACCUGCCCCCUUCUUCUGGAUAACCGCAUGAAAGUGUGGCUAAUACGGGAUAUUCUGGGUCUGUCGCAUGAUGGGUCUGGGAAAGAUAUUGUUUCGGUGGGGGAUGGGCUCGCGGCCUAUCAGCUUGUUGGUGGGGUGAUGGCCUACCAAGGCGGUGACGGGUAGCCGGCCUGAGAGGGUGGACGGUCACACUGGGACUGAGACACGGGCCAGACUCAUACGGGAGGCAGCAGGGGGGAAUAGGGCACAAGGUGCGCAAGCCUGAUGCAGCGACGCCGCGUGAGGGAUGGAGGCCUUCGGGUUGUGAACCUCUUUCGCCAGUGAAGCAGGCCUGCCUCGUUUGUGGGUGGGUUGACGGUAGCUGGAUAAGAAGCGCCGGCUAACUACGUG
RNAcentral lists this ribosomal RNA (494 nucleotides) under uncultured bacterium. RNAcentral describes it as "partial 16S ribosomal RNA". It matches the Rfam family "Bacterial small subunit ribosomal RNA", at positions 28 to 507 of the family's 1533-position model. The record is from RNAcentral.